Molecule: ribosomal RNA, 259 nt
Filed under: uncultured bacterium
Lineage: Bacteria
Description: partial 16S ribosomal RNA
Rfam family: Bacterial small subunit ribosomal RNA
Source: RNAcentral
UACGGAGGGGACUAGCGUUGUUCGGAAUACUGGCGUAAAGCGCACGUAGGCGGAUCGGAAAGUUGGGGGUGAAAUCCCGGGGCUACAACCCCGGGAACAUGCCUUCAAAAACUAAUCGGUCUGGAGUUCGAGAGAGGUGAGUGGAAUUCCGAGUGUAGAGGUGAAAUUCGUAGAUAUUCGGAGGAACACCAGUGGCGAAGGCGGCUCACUGGCUCGAUACUGACGCUGAGGUGCGAAAGCGUGGGGAGCAAACAGGAUU